AACGAACGCUGGCGGCAUGCCUAACACAUGCAAGUCGAACGAGACCUUCGUGUCUAGUUGCGCACGGGUGCGUAACGCGUGGGAACCUGCCCUUAGGUUCGGAAUAACUCCCCGAAAGGUGUGCUAAUACCGGAUAAUGUCUUCGGACCAAAGGUUUAUCGCCUUUGUAUGGGCCCGCGUUGGAUUAGCUAGUUGGUAGGGUAAAAGCCUACCAAGACGACCAUCCAUAGCUGGUCAGAGAGGAUGAUAAGGCAAACUGGGACUGAGACACGGCCCACACUGCUACGGGAGGCAGCAGUGGGGAAUAAUGGACAAUGGGCGAAAGCAUGAUCCAGCAAUGACGCGUGAGUGAUGAAGGCCUUAGGGUUGUAAAGCUCUUUUAACCGGGAUGAUAAUGACAGUACCGGGAGAAUAAGCUCCGGCUAACUCCGUG
This 433-nucleotide ribosomal RNA is filed under the name uncultured bacterium. RNAcentral describes it as "partial 16S ribosomal RNA". It matches the Rfam family "Bacterial small subunit ribosomal RNA", at positions 29 to 507 of the family's 1533-position model. The record is from RNAcentral.